CGAGAACAUGACAUAUGCAUAAGUGAGUAUUCUCAGUGCAAUUUCAUUACUCUUGUUUAUAAAUCAUUCUGGAAAACUCUUGCCAACCAAUAGAAAUUAAUCAUUCUUGUUACUUGUGCAACUAAAAAUCUGCUGGACAUAUAGUCACUAAUAUCGUGUAUUUUUCACCUCCUUUGUGAAUCGUGUGAUUCUGACUUCAAACUAUGAGAAAUUUUUCAUAUUAUAUUUGGUUGCUUUGGAUGUAAGUGCAUGGUUAUUAGAGUAUACAAUUGCAUUAUUGUAUGUUUUGAUUUCGUUUUUUGUUGUAAAUACUUCUUUCCUUAUCUUCUGAAUACUACUUUUUUUUUCAUUCUUGAUGAAGAUAGAUCUCCUCUAUUAAUUAAGCAUAUUCAUUUAGUUUUUAUUGGAAAAUUUUUACUAGAAGUGUUCCUUACACCUGACGCCUUUUGUUAUAUGCUGCUAAUGGAUAUGCCAUUUGAAAAUAGGUUAUCUUGGAUAGAACCCAUCUAAAUGUUCUAAUUUUAUGUCACGUUGGAGUUAGGAGUCCUUUUUUACUGGUCUGUUUUGAUCUUUGAUGUUACUUGGUUAUUGCUA
This 594-nucleotide unclassified non-coding RNA is filed under the name Hevea brasiliensis (rubber tree). The record is from RNAcentral. Lineage: Eukaryota; Viridiplantae; Streptophyta; Magnoliopsida; Malpighiales; Euphorbiaceae.